RNAcentral lists this ribosomal RNA (253 nucleotides) under uncultured bacterium. RNAcentral's name for it is "partial 16S ribosomal RNA". It matches the Rfam family "Bacterial small subunit ribosomal RNA", at positions 524 to 776 of the family's 1533-position model. The record is from RNAcentral.
GACGAACCGUGCAAACGUUGUUCGGAUUCACUGGGCUUAAAGGGCGCGUAGGCGGCUUGCCAAGUCAGGGGUGAAAUCCUCCGGCUCAACCGGAGAACAGCUUUUGAUACUGGCGAGCUUGAGGGAGGUAGGGGCAGGUGGAACUUCCGGUGGAGCGGUGAAAUGCGUAGAUAUCGGAAGGAACGCCGGUGGCGAAAGCGACCUGCUGGAUCUCUUCUGACGCUGAGGCGCGAAAGCCAGGGGAGCAAACGCG